This 446-nucleotide ribosomal RNA is filed under the name uncultured bacterium. RNAcentral describes it as "bacterial SSU rRNA". It matches the Rfam family "Bacterial small subunit ribosomal RNA", at positions 28 to 494 of the family's 1533-position model. The record is from RNAcentral.
GAUGAACGCUGGCGGCGCGCCUAACACAUGCAAGUCGAACGGCACCUAUCUUCGGAUAGAAGCGAGUGGCGAACGGCUGAGUAACACGUGGAGAACCUGCCCCCUCCCCCGGGAUAGCCGCCCGAAAGGACGGGUAAUACCGGAUACCCCGGGGUGCCGCAUGGCACCCCGGCUAAAGCCCCGACGGGAGGGGAUGGCUCCGCGGCCCAUCAGGUAGACGGCGGGGUGACGGCCCACCGUGCCGACAACGGGUAGCCGGGUUGAGAGACCGACCGGCCAGAUUGGGACUGAGACACGGCCCAGACUCCUACGGGAGGCAGCAGUGGGGAAUCUUGCGCAAUGGGGGGAACCCUGACGCAGCGACGCCGCGUGCGGGACGGAGGCCUUCGGGUCGUAAACCGCUUUCAGCAGGGAAGAGUCAAGACUGUACCUGCAGAAGAAGCCCC